UUUAUAUAACUCAGUAAAAUCUUUGAAAUUGUUGCAGGUGUUGUUGUUCAGUGUAAUUUAACUAAUUUAGGCCUUCCAUAACAAAGGUGGUGAAAAUUAUUCUAGACAUUUCAAUAACGUCCCCCAUUUAUAGUUGUUUAAAAAUCAACCUGAGUUCUAAGGAGGGAUGUGGGUAGGCCUAUACCCAGGGGAGGAUUGGCUAUCUGGCAGAUGCCAGACAGGCUGGACCAUUUUUUGUUGUUGGCUGGGCUGGUUGAAAUUGACCCCCCCCACACACACACACUUUUUUAAAUUUUAUUUAAACAGUGACAUGGCUGGUGGACUAUGGGCCUGUUAAGAUUUUUGCACAGUUCUGUUCUACUAAUCUAUAAUGAGCCUUUGCCUGAUCAGUGGGCAACGGCUGAGUUGACGUCACGCAAACCCGCAUUCAAAGUCAAAUGCGACAUCAGCAAAGAGACCUGCUCCGACUGUCAUCAGUUAGACAGCCAAGAUCAUGGAUCGUAAAAACGGAACGGGUGCUUAUAAACGUAGGAAGAGCUCAUUCUACAUUGUCACCUCACUCAAAACAUCCUAUUUUUUGGGUGGCUAAAACCAUGAAGUGCUUUUCCUCAUAAUUCCUGUAAUGAAAGUGUCUGCCCUGUACCUGAGCCCUCGCUGGGGCCUGCUGCUGUGAUGAGUAACCCCCCAUGCACUCAUGAAAAAAAGCAUUCUGAUUGCCCUGCAUUUGCAUUUUAUACAAUCAGUCCCUUGUCCCUGUCAAAGAGAGGGUCUCAGUUUUCUGUAGGUAUUUGUAUUAAUCAACUCUCAAUAUUCAGCUCAAUAGCAACUAUUUUACAACCAAGAUAUUUGAGAUAUGGAAUGGUGCACACUUUAAAUCCUCUCCGGCCAUGGAAAGGACAUAGGCCUAUAGAUCUCAUGGCCGGCCUGACCUUACCUACCUGGCCGGCUGGCCCUAUCUACAUGGCCGGACAUGGCUACCUACAACUGCUACUUUCUUUAGGACAUUAAAUGUACUGUUAUAUGAGUACAUAGCUACUAGAGGUGGGUAUUUUAUUUAGUUAGCGAAUUAAUUCAUGUGCUUUGAGUUUCCACUUCCGGUAUUGAACCCCAAAAUAAUUUUGCCUAUGAUAUUAGUAAGCUGUUGUGUUCGAGACAGAUUUCAGGACCAAGAUGGGAGCAAAUCGAGACAGAGUCAAGACCGGUAGAGGGACAAGAAAGAGACCGAGACCAGAAAAAUGUGAGUCCAGUUCAAGACCGUGAUUGUAAUUUUGUCAAAUCACCACCAUAACAGUUCAGAAUUACCAGUAUUUCUGUGUUCAUAUUUCAGAACAACAUGGAUUCUUUAGACAUUCUGAAUAGUGAAUAAAUGCAUGCGGAGGGAUAAUAGAGCCACUCUACAAAUUAUUACUAACCAAAACACAGUGGGGAACAAUGGGCAUUCUAUGUCAACAGAGGAGGGCUAAGGAUUUAUAAUAUAUAUAUAUAUAUAUAUUUUUUUUUUUUCAAUGAUGUUCUGAUUUUAAUCUCGUCAAUUUGUGUUGGAAAGGGCUAAUAAUGAACAGAAAAAAAAUAUUUGCUGGUCUCUGGAGAGCUAAAUCUAGCUAAGUCUGCCAUUGGCUAGGUCAUCAGAAGCUACUGUAGUAAAUGCAUCUGCCGUUCGACGGUAUUAGGGCAACAUUUUGGAGUGACAGUGGAAUCAACCAAUCACAUUUUGAUUUAAUGGAUGGGACCGUUUUUUACGAAAACGUAUGGAAACUUCUGCCUUCUUGUAGGUCAAUAGGUCACUGCGCAAUAGCGAGCGGUAGUUUUCCCACGGUCUCGCGAGCUAGCGUCUGUUGUUGGGUAAUUUGCAGCAGCUGCACCAGGUGUUAUCAAAGAUGAUGUUGUUGCUAAUUCGUUAGCUUCUCCCUUUUCAAGAAUAACUUUCAACAAGAAGUUCAGUUUCAAAUGAUCAUCAUCUGAAACACAAACAGGCAGAUCAGGUGCAAACAGGCCCCAGCCCUUGCAUCACCACUGGACACCAGAGCAGCUCCCUACCUGAGGCUAGUCAGAGUCAGUGUGGUCAGACUUCACAAGGACCCAGUCUACCACCGGCAGAUCUAUCAAGGGAUGACACAGAUACCUCUGGCUCUGAGCAAGACAGUGAGCCAGAGCUGCCAGGAGAUGUCAUCAAGCCCCUCCUAACUGCAUCAAGCACCAGAUAUGCUGUUCCAAAAGGACCCAAUGGACGGCCAGACCUAUACUUUAAACUACACAUUUUAGUUAGCUGCUGUUAGUAUCUAAUCUUGUUGAUCCCUUAAUUCUAUAUUUCCAUAGAGCUAUGACACAUUAUUUAACGUGUAUUGCAGACAUUUCAAGAUCCAGAGAAGAGGGUCCUGUACAGCCAUGUUUGAAAACAUUUCCCAGAACUCAGCAUGGUACAAGGAAAAGGGCUUUCAACAGCUCCUGGUAUAAGGACAAUUCAUGGCUUGAAUGUUCUGUAAGUCAAGAUUCAACUUAUUGUUUUGCCUGUUGGCAUUUUUCUCUGCCCAAUACACCUGAAUCUGCCUUCACAUCACAGUCAGGUUUUUGUGACUGGAAAAAGGCGCUCUUUAAAGAUUCUGGGUUUAAGCUCCAUUCGCAGGCAGAGCAUCAUUAUCAAUGCUAUAUAUGCUUGGAAUCAGUAUAAAAGGGCUAUUGACAGCAACUCAUCAAUGUUAGAUGUCAUAAAAGAGGACAGGAAAAAGAAAGUGGAGGAAAACUGUACUUACAAUUAAACAAUUUCAGAUGUGCUCCUAUUAACUACCACUCAAAAUAUAGCGCAGAAAGGCAAGUCUUAGAAGAAAUGGCAAAGCAUGAAAUGGCAAAGCAUGACCCUCUCAUAGAGAAAAGGAUGAAUGCAUGUGGCAUUGCUACUUACACAAGCCACCAAAUCCCGAAGGAAGUUCUUGAGGGCUUAGCUGAGAUGGUACAAAGUGAAAUAAUAAGAUACGUUUUUAGUGUAAUUGCAGAUUUUAAAGAAAAAAGAACAAAUGUCUUUAGUUGUGAGGUACUAUUACAACAGGGCCGUCCACAAAAGCUUUCAACACUUUCAGUCAGCUGAAAUCUUAAAUGCAGGUCUCACAAAAAUUAUAAUUGAUUGCCUUGAAAACAUGGUCUGGACUACAGAAAUAAUCUUGUGGGGCAAGGCUAUGACGGUGCAUCCGUCAUGAGCGGAAAGCAUUCUGGUGGGUCUGCACAGAUUAAAAACAUUACAAGAUUUGCAUUUUAUGUGCACUCUAAUGCACAUUGUUUGAAUUUGGUUCUUGUCGAUGCUGUCAAAUCAGUGCCUGACGCAGUUAACAUUUUUGCUCUCCUGCAGAAGCUUUAUUACUUUGAAUCUGGCUCGUACAUUCAUCUCAAGUGGCUUGCAGUUCAGAAAGAGCUGUAUCCACAGCAGCAGCCCAGGGAACUACAGAGACUUACAGAUGGAAGGUGGCAUGCUGUAAUUUGAGAGACAGGCUUCCAGCAGUUCUGAGAGUGCUACAGGAUAUCACACUUUAAAAUAGUUAUGAUAAAAGGCCCCUUGCCUCCACUGAUCUUUCUCAGAUUUACAUUUUAUAGGGCUUUUGAUUACCUUGCUAACUGUCUUUCUGACAUGCUCCAAUCAAGCUCUCUUGACCUAGCAAGGGAUGUGGAUCUAGUAGGUGCCCUUACAGACACAUUUUUUAUUUUAUUUUACCUUUAUUUAACUAGGCAAGUCAAUUAACAAAUUCUUAUUUUCAAUGACGGCCUAGGAACCGUGGGUUAACUGCCUUGUUCAGGGGCAGAACGACAGAUUUGUACCUUGUCAGCUCGGGGAUUCAAUCUUGCAAUCUUUCGGUUACUAGUCCAACGCUCUAACCACUAGGCUACGCUGCCGCCCCAUUACUGGACUACAGAGGUGAGGGUUACUUUGGAGAUCUAUGGAAAGAGGUUGAAGAGAUUGCAGAGCACUGCAAAAUAAGUGUACAAACAGUGUGUAAAAGACAGCCUAAAACAAGCUUAAGAUUUCACGACUCAUUGAUAAUGAGCACUGUAGGGCAGAGAUAGUGACCAAAGUGAUGGUGAGCGCUUCCAAAUAGUUAUCUUUUAUCAGGUGCUUGACAGUCUCACAGCUGAGCUGCAGAGGUGUUUUUCAAAGAAGAAUUGUGAGAUAAUGCAAGGGGUCCAAUCUCUCAACCCAAAGAGUACAACAUUCUUGAAUGAGGAGCCUCUGUUUGCCUUUGCUCAGACCUUUUAGAGUCAGAUUUAGAGGACCUCAAACAUCAAAUUUAUUUUUAUAUAGCCCUUCGUACAUCAGCUGAUAUUCUCAAAGUGCUGUACAGAAACCCAGCCUAAAACCCCAAACAG
This is a non-coding RNA of Salmo salar (Atlantic salmon), 4350 nucleotides long. The record is from RefSeq and is a predicted model, not a curated record. Lineage: Eukaryota; Metazoa; Chordata; Actinopteri; Salmoniformes; Salmonidae.